Molecule: ribosomal RNA, 460 nt
Filed under: uncultured bacterium
Lineage: Bacteria
Description: bacterial SSU rRNA
Rfam family: Bacterial small subunit ribosomal RNA
Source: RNAcentral
CCUACGGGGGGCAGCAGUGAGGAAUCUUGCGCAAUGGAGGAAACUCUGACGCAGCCACGCCGCGUGCCGGAAGACGGCCCUAUGGGUUGUAAACGGCUUUUGUUCGGGAAGAAAGUACGGGUUUAGAUCUGUAUUGACGGUACCGAUUGAAUAAGCACCGGCUAACUCCGUGCCAGCAGCCGCGGUAAUACGGAGGGUGCAAGCGUUGUCCGGAAUCAUUGGGUGUAAAGGGUGCGUAGGCUGGUGUCUAAGUCUGGGGUGAAAUUUUGCCGCUUAACGGUAACAUGGCCUUGGAUACUGGAUGCCUUGAAUCUGACAGAGGUCGGUGGAAUUCGUAGUGUAGCGGUGAAAUGCAUAGAUAUUACGAAGAACACCAGUGGCGAAGGCGGCCGGCUGGGUCAGUAUUGACGCUGAGGCACGAGAGCGUGGGGAGCGAACAGGAUUAGAUACCCCCGUAGUC